UUAACUCAAAUUUGUUUGGAGUUAGAACGUUUGCCUACUUUUCCCGCUAAGGGCGCUGUUGCAACUGCAUACAAAUUUGAGUUU
Molecule: microRNA precursor, 84 nt
Filed under: Bombyx mori (domestic silkworm)
Lineage: Eukaryota; Metazoa; Arthropoda; Insecta; Lepidoptera; Bombycidae
Description: mir-2807 microRNA precursor family
Rfam family: mir-2807 microRNA precursor family
Source: Rfam by way of RNAcentral